UACGUAGGGGGCGAGCGUUGUCCGGAAUUAUUGGGCGUAAAGAGCGUGUAGGCUGUUCGGUAAGUCUGCCGUGAAAACCUGAGGCUCAACCUCGGGCGUGCGGUGGAUACUGCCGGGCUAGAGGACGGUAGAGGCGAGUGGAAUUCCCGGUGUAGCGGUGAAAUGCGCAGAUAUCAGGAGGAACACCGGUGGCGAAGGCGGAUCUCUGGGCCAUUACUGACGCUGAGGAGCGAAAGCGUGGGGAGCGAACAGG
Molecule: ribosomal RNA, 253 nt
Filed under: uncultured bacterium
Lineage: Bacteria
Description: partial 16S ribosomal RNA
Rfam family: Bacterial small subunit ribosomal RNA
Source: RNAcentral